RNAcentral lists this ribosomal RNA (850 nucleotides) under uncultured bacterium. RNAcentral describes it as "bacterial SSU rRNA". It matches the Rfam family "Bacterial small subunit ribosomal RNA", at positions 1 to 864 of the family's 1533-position model. The record is from RNAcentral.
GGAGGGGUUUAGUAUAACCAACGGAGAUAAUGCAGUCGACGGAGAUGUUGCAGCAGAAGCGAAUAGCUUGCUAUGAGUGGAAACGGUGGCAUCUUAGUGGCGGACGGGUGAGUAACGCGUGGGCAACCUGCCCUGCACUGGGGGAUAACACUUAGAAAUAGGUGCUAAUACCGCAUAAUAAAAUAUAUUGCAUGAUAUAUUUUUGAAAGCUGCGGCGGUGCAGGAUGGGCCCGCGUCUGAUUAGCCAGUUGGCGGGGUAACGGCCCACCAAAGCGACGAUCAGUAGCCGGCCUGAGAGGGUGGACGGCCACAUUGGGACUGAGACACGGCCCAAACUCCUACGGGAGGCAGCAGUGGGGGAUAUUGGACAAUGGGGGGAACCCUGAUCCAGCGACGCCGCGUGAGUGAAGAAGUAUUUCGGUAUGUAAAGCUCUAUCAGCAGGGGAGAAAAGAAUGACGGUACCUGAAUAAGAAGCCCCGGCUAACUACGUGCCAGCAGCCGCGGUAAUACGUAGGGGGCAAGCGUUAUCCGGAUUUACUGGGUGUAAAGGGAGCGCAGACGGCAAUGCAAGCCUGGAGUGAAAGGCGGGGGCCCAACCCCCGGACUGCUCUGGGAACUGUAUAGCUAGAGUGCAGGAGAGGCAAGUGGAAUUCCUAGUGUAGCGGUGAAAUGCGUAGAUAUUAGGAGGAACGCCAGUGGCGAAGGCGGCUUGUUGGACUGUAACUGACGUUGAGGCUCGAAAGCGUGGGGAGCAAACAGGAUUAGAUACCCUGGUAGUCCACGCCGUAAACGAUGAUUACUAGGUGUCGGAGGGCAUGGGCCCGUCGGUGCCGGAGCAAACGCAUUAAG